AAACCAACAGGGAUUGCCUCAGUAACGGCGAGUGAAGCGGCAAAAGCUCAAAUUUGAAAUCCCCCCGGGGAAUUGUAAUUUGAAGAUUGUGUUUUGGAAACGACCGUGUCUAUGUUCCUUGGAACAGGACGUCACAGAGGGUGAGAAUCCCGUGCGGCACGGCCACCGUUUCCUUAUAAAACACUCUCGACGAGUCGAGUUGUUUGGGAAUGCAGCUCAAAGUGGGUGGUAAAUUCCAUCUAAAGCUAAAUACAGGCGAGAGACCGAUAGCGAACAAGUACAGUGAUGGAAAGAUGAAAAGCACUUUGAAAAGAGAGUGAAACAGUACGUGAAAUUGUUGAAAGGGAAGGGCAUGCCGUCAGAUUGUCAGUGUGGGUAAGAAGCGGGGUACAAAGACUGUGGAACGUGGCCCUCGGGUGUUAUAGCCACAGUUCAUCCCCCGUCUCUUUCCGAGGCCUGCUUUGAGGACACCGACGUAAUGACGGUACGCCGCCCGUCUUGAAACACGGA
This 510-nucleotide ribosomal RNA is filed under the name uncultured Candida. Its description in RNAcentral is "eukaryotic LSU rRNA". It matches the Rfam family "Eukaryotic large subunit ribosomal RNA", at positions 62 to 665 of the family's 3401-position model. The record is from RNAcentral. Lineage: Eukaryota; Fungi; Ascomycota; Saccharomycetes; Saccharomycetales.